RNAcentral lists this non-coding RNA (24 nucleotides) under Arabidopsis thaliana (thale cress). Lineage: Eukaryota; Viridiplantae; Streptophyta; Magnoliopsida; Brassicales; Brassicaceae. The record is from RNAcentral.
AUAGAGAAACCGCCAUGGAUUGAC